RNAcentral lists this ribosomal RNA (253 nucleotides) under uncultured bacterium. Its description in RNAcentral is "partial 16S ribosomal RNA". It matches the Rfam family "Bacterial small subunit ribosomal RNA", at positions 524 to 776 of the family's 1533-position model. The record is from RNAcentral.
UACGUAGGGUGCAAGCGUUGUCCGGAAUUAUUGGGCGUAAAGAGCUCGUAGGCGGUUUGUCGCGUCGAAUGUGAAAACCCGGGGCUCAACCCCGGGCCUGCAUUCGAUACGGGCAGACUAGAGUUCGGUAGGGGAGUCUGGAAUUCCUGGUGUAGCGGUGAGAUGCGCAGAUAUCAGGAGGAACACCGGUGGCGAAGGCGGGACUCUGGGCCGAUACUGACGCUGAGGAGCGAAAGCGUGGGGAGCAAACAGG